CUGGCAAUAUCACAACAGGUGAAGAGUCUUGGAACCGAUACAUGUAUCUGCUUACAUUUCUUUGUUCAAGGAUACUUACAGUGCUACUGAGUGAUUUGUGUGUGUUUGUGUGUGUAAUGUUUGAGGUCUUCCUUCUUAAAAGUUAGUUUGAAAGCUUAGAAGUUUCGUCGCGAGUGAUGUUGAGGUGUAGAAUUGGAUUGCGGAUUAUACACAGGAGAAGAAGAAGAAUGGUCCAUCCUAUAUUAUUUGCUCUGAGGUUUCUGUGCUCCCAGAUUGUAUGUGCGGCUAUGUUUUGUUUUUCUUCUCUUAACAUUACAAGGGACACUUGAGAGAUUCCCUCCCUUGCAAAUAAACUAAAAGU
This 361-nucleotide long non-coding RNA is filed under the name Linum usitatissimum (flax). RNAcentral describes it as "long non-coding RNA (LUSI_LNC001274)". Lineage: Eukaryota; Viridiplantae; Streptophyta; Magnoliopsida; Malpighiales; Linaceae. The record is from RNAcentral.